GAGCGUCUUGUGGCUGCGGCCUGCCCCUCAGCCUCCUCCGCGCGGUUACCCCUGUACCCGCCGCCAUCCGUCCUGGCGCUCCGGAUGAGUCAAUGAGGGGCAGGGCCCGAGGAGUGGUCUUCCCAAGAACCCCUGGUGGCCUCCCAAGGCCGGCCUCGUGGGCUGUGCGGCUAUCCUGGAGACAGAUGACAGCUCUCCCUUGGAUGGCUUUGCUGGUUCCGCACCAGCCAGCGCCCCUAUUUUUCCUGCAGCACCCUGAUCUGCACUCCCUGAGGGGCUCCCACUGUCCGCGGUGUGAGGAUGUCCCUGGAUAGUCCACUGUGUGCAGAGGCAUGGGAGUUGUCAUGUCGAGAACAUGCUAGACCUCAGUGUCCUUGAGCUUGAAGAAAGACGACAGAACACUGGAGACCAAGUACUUGCAGCCUUCUGCUCUGUGGCCCCUCCUCACUCCAGGGAUGCCGCCUUGGGUCUGGAAAUUGUUAGAGGAAACCCCAAGAGGUGCAGGCACUGAGCCUCUCAGGACAAUGACCUGGGGUCCCAGCUCCCCUGGAGGGGCCUCCUCAUGAUUGUUUGGGGCUUGAUCACAGACCAAGAGUGACGAGUGAUGUCACCCUGUGACUCAUGGCCGGACCUUCUUGCCCCUAUUGUCUCAGCACAACAUUAUUUGACUUUUCCCUCAGCGUGGGUGGGCAGAGGAAAAGCCCUGUGGCUCUGGGGACUUGGGAUCCGGAGUUGAAGACCCUUCAGCUGGCUCUGCCCUGCCAGUGCCACAGAGUGCCAUGGCCCAGGAAGACAGGUUUUCUUCCAUCUAGGCCAGGCCAUCCAGUGGCCAUCCUCCGUGUCCUCCCGCCUCCUCCUGGUGUGACUUCUGAAAACCAAGAAUUUGUUCCUGUUGACUUUUUCUGUGCUAUGGACCAUUGUCCUCUCACCCACUCAAUAAAUCUUGAAACAUGC
Molecule: long non-coding RNA, 954 nt
Filed under: Pan troglodytes (chimpanzee)
Lineage: Eukaryota; Metazoa; Chordata; Mammalia; Primates; Hominidae
Description: lincRNA
Source: RNAcentral